AAUGCACUUUAUAUAGGGAUCAGUGCUUCAUACGUUACUCGUUUACAGUGGCGUGUCCAGCGGAGUGGCCUUGGGGGGCAGAGGCCACCCCCCCAACCAGACUGGCCACCCCAGGUGCCACCCCGAAGCUAAAACAAUAAAAUUUAAUGAAAUAUCAAAUGUACGAUUAUGGCUUCACAGUGAAGCUCAGAUGUCUGAGGGUAAGUGAAUGCAGCACCGGCUUCUGCACUAUGAGCAUCAUGUUAGCAAAGGUAGGAGAGCCAAGUACGAAAGACGGCACCACAGAAAACGUUUUUUCAGCGAAAGAUUAACAAGUUAACAUAGCUGGACUAGCCAUCGGACAUUUGCACAGUGGGCUGAUGACUUAUUUAUUUUUUUUGUAACGGCAUGAACAAUGAGAGGUGGUGGAUUGGCCAGAUGCUGGCCGAUGUGUAAAAAUAACUCAGUUGUUUGGUGGUGGCUAUGGCGGGGCUUCCACAGAGGCAACAGGUGGAUGAGGGAAGGGGAGGCAGGAGGAGCAGAGACCCGAGGCGGCCGCCGGUUCGAGUAUCAGGUGAACUGAACUUGAGAGAAACCAAAUCCUGCGUCUUUGCCUUGACAGACGCCUAAAAUGGCUCGAGCUGUGGCAAAGGAGAAGCUCCCACACUCAUCCAGUGGAGACCGUUGUGCUCUGGACAAUGAAGUUCCCGCUUUCAUGUUCAGACCUAUCAGUGCACCUGCAUGUGAGCUCCCAAGUCCACCACCUGCUGAUGCCAGCUUUCAUUCAAAGGACACAAACAAGAUCAUUC
Long non-coding RNA from Astatotilapia calliptera (eastern happy), 788 nucleotides. Lineage: Eukaryota; Metazoa; Chordata; Actinopteri; Cichliformes; Cichlidae. The record is from Ensembl.